This 321-nucleotide ribosomal RNA is filed under the name uncultured eukaryote. RNAcentral's name for it is "partial 18S ribosomal RNA". It matches the Rfam family "Eukaryotic small subunit ribosomal RNA", at positions 1470 to 1796 of the family's 1831-position model. The record is from RNAcentral.
CCCUUAGAUGUCCUGGGCCACACGCGCGCUACACUGACAUGUUCAACAAGCCUCCUAGUUCGACAGGAUUUGGGAAAUCUUUGAACGCAUGUCGUGAUAGGGAUAGAUCAUUGCAAUUAUUGAUCUUGAACGAGGAAUUCCUAGUAAACGCGAGUCAUCAGCUCGCAUUGAUUACGUCCCUGCCCUUUGUACACACCGCCCGUCGCACCUACCGAUUGAAUGUUUCGGUGAAGAUUCCGGAUAGGACUUUUUUGAUUUAUUUCAAUUUUGUCUUAAAAGCUAUCUAAACCUCAACAUUUAGAGGAAGGUGAAGUCGUAACA